UGCCAAGAGUAAAGAAUCAAUCUGAAGCUAUAAACUACAAUGGAACAAUUUUGCUACGUGAUAAGGACUAGUCUGCUUUCUUUUCCACGGAUGCCAAGACAAUCUAUAGAUGGUAAAAUAACUGAAAACGGGAUAACAAAUUAGACCUUAUACGUCAAGGCUUUCACUUUGCAGAAGAAAGCAAAAACAAUUGAACCAAAAACCUUUACCUCUUUCCGGUUGAUUACUGUCAGGUCUGUAUCAUCCAUGUAUAGUCUACUGUGCCUUACAGUAUAUCUAGGCUCUUCUUGAUCUAUAGUUCUGCUGAGGCGCUUCAACAGUUUAUGCAUCCACAGCAUGUUGUCUUCUCCAAUUUUUGCUAGGGGCAUCAAAA
Molecule: long non-coding RNA, 373 nt
Organism: Syzygium oleosum
Lineage: Eukaryota; Viridiplantae; Streptophyta; Magnoliopsida; Myrtales; Myrtaceae
Exons: 2
Source: RefSeq, a predicted model, not a curated record